UACGUAGGGGGCAAGCGCUGUCCGGAUUUAUUGGGCGUAAAGAGCGUGUAGGCGGCCAGAUAGGUCCGUUGUGAAAACUCGAGGCUCAACCUCGAGACGCCGAUGGAAACCAUUUGGCUAGAGUCCGGAAGAGGAGAGUGGAAUUCCUGGUGUAGCGGUGAAAUGCGCAGAUAUCGGGAGGAACACCAAUGGCGAAGGCAGCUCGCUGGGACGGUACUGACGCUGAGACGCGAAAGCGUGGGGAGCAAACAGG
RNAcentral lists this ribosomal RNA (253 nucleotides) under uncultured bacterium. RNAcentral describes it as "partial 16S ribosomal RNA". It matches the Rfam family "Bacterial small subunit ribosomal RNA", at positions 524 to 776 of the family's 1533-position model. The record is from RNAcentral.